Molecule: ribosomal RNA, 429 nt
Filed under: Gemmatimonadota bacterium
Lineage: Bacteria; Pseudomonadati; Gemmatimonadota
Description: Gemmatimonadetes bacterium partial 16S ribosomal RNA
Rfam family: Bacterial small subunit ribosomal RNA
Source: RNAcentral
UAGGGAAUCUUCGGCAAUGGACGAAAGUCUGACCGAGCAACGCCGCGUGAGUGAAGAAGGUUUUCGGAUCGUAAAACUCUGUUGUUAGAGAAGAACAAGGACGUUAGUAACUGAACGUCCCCUGACGGUAUCUAACCAGAAAGCCACGGCUAACUACGUGCCAGCAGCCGCGGUAAUACGUAGGUGGCAAGCGUUGUCCGGAUUUAUUGGGCGUAAAGCGAGCGCAGGCGGUUUCUUAAGUCUGAUGUGAAAGCCCCCGGCUCAACCGGGGAGGGUCAUUGGAAACUGGGAGACUUGAGUGCAGAAGAGGAGAGUGAAAUUCCAUGUGUAGCGGUGAAAUGCGUAGAUAUAUGGAGGAACACCAGUGGCGAAGGCGGCUCUCUGGUCUGUAACUGACGCUGAGGCUCAAAAGCGUGGGGAGCAAACAGG